Molecule: unclassified non-coding RNA, 302 nt
Filed under: Thanatephorus cucumeris
Lineage: Eukaryota; Fungi; Basidiomycota; Agaricomycetes; Cantharellales; Ceratobasidiaceae
Description: partial internal transcribed spacer region
Rfam family: Eukaryotic small subunit ribosomal RNA (bases 1-46)
Source: RNAcentral
AAGUCGUAACAAGGUUUCCGUAGGUGAACCUGCGGAAGGAUCAUUAUUGAAUUUUAAUGAAGAGUUUGGUUGUAGCUGGCCCAUUCAUUUGGGCAUGUGCACACCUUUCUCUUUCAUCCCACACACACCUGUGAACCUGUGAGACAGAUGGGGAAUUUACUUGUAGCUUUUUGGAAUACAAAGGCAAUAGGUUAUUGGACCCUCUGUCUACUCAAUUAAUAUAAACUCAAUUUAUUUUAAAACGAAUGUAAUGGAUGUAACACAUCUCAUACUAAGUUUCAACAACGGAUCUCUUGGCUCUC